CUGUAUGCAUGCUGUGGAUAGCAGGAGCGCUCUGCAGGAGUAACAGAUCCUGAAGAGUCUCCUGGAUGGAGCCUGGGAAGAGAGUGAACUCACUUCGUGCCAGUUUGCACCUCCAUGUUGCAUGGCAAGGAGUAGAAAGCCAAGGGGUUCUCACCAUGCAUCGAACAGGUCUGUGUGAGUUUGUGGUGUGUCUGACUGGCCUUCUCAAGCAUGCUGCUUUCCUGCCGGCUUGA
This 233-nucleotide long non-coding RNA is filed under the name Fukomys damarensis (Damara mole-rat). RNAcentral's name for it is "lncRNA (ENSFDAG00000024188.1)". Lineage: Eukaryota; Metazoa; Chordata; Mammalia; Rodentia; Bathyergidae. The record is from RNAcentral.